This 567-nucleotide long non-coding RNA is filed under the name Homo sapiens (human). Its description in RNAcentral is "HSALNT0405121". Lineage: Eukaryota; Metazoa; Chordata; Mammalia; Primates; Hominidae. The record is from RNAcentral.
GACAGUGCCCUAGAGCUGUGGCUAAACUCCCAGUGCCUUCCUGGAACCCCAGGAGGAGAAGGGGCCACAAGAGACCAGGGAUAGGGAGGGCUUGGGCUGGGCUGGGACGGCCCCCCAGGAGUGGCUCAGCCUGGACUGGGCAGGGCAUGGAGAAAGGGAGAGGAACUCGGGAAAGGGGCUGUGGUCGGCUAAAUUAGGCCCCGCGGGGACAGUCGUGUCCCAAUCCUGGACCUGUCUAUGUGUCAUGUGUGGCCACAGGGACUUUGCAGAUGUCAUGUCAAUUAGGAGCCUGAGGUGGGAAAUGCUCCUGGGUUAUCCAGGCACCCGUCCCAGUCACCGUCCCUACCAGAAGUCCCUGUCCUGGGCAUCUGCUCUGAGGUCUUCCUCCAGUGGAGGAAUUGGCACGUCUAUGGCACCACUCUGGAAUCUCAUGAUUGACUUUGACCUCCCCAGCCCCACUGACCAUCCGUGGAUAACUGGACAUUAGGUGAUGGUGGAACUACCCCUCAAAAACAAUCCAGACUUCAUUCCCACAAGGCUAAAAGAAUUUUGUUCAUCUUGCAGGUU